Aethalodelphis obliquidens (Pacific white-sided dolphin) is the source of this 2640-nucleotide long non-coding RNA. RefSeq lists it as uncharacterized. The record is from RefSeq and is a predicted model, not a curated record. NCBI's taxonomy places the organism in Eukaryota, Metazoa, Chordata, Mammalia, Artiodactyla, Delphinidae. The transcript has 5 exons.
GUCGCGCUCGUUUCUAAUUUUAGCUCCGGCGGCCCUGGUGGGGUCCGGCGAGGUAAAGGCGGGCAGAGGGGACAUGGGGGCUGGGGGCGCGGUUUUCCCGGUCCCUUGCUGCCCCAAUGUUGGUCCUCGUGGAGGACGGGUCCCGGCCCGAGCCGCUGGAACGCCGGCGCUUCCUUAGGCCAGGGCGAAGGGUCUCGUCCGCGUGCCAGCCCAGCCCUGAGCUCACCGUAGGCGUUCAAUAAACGAAUUGGGGUUCCCUCCUAAAUGCGACUCGGGACUUCCCAGAGAGGGCUAGGGUUCUGUAAAGUUCCCUGGUGGAUGGGGUGCGGUGUGGACUGAAGUCAGAACAGGAGCGGGGCUCGGCGAGGGCUCGGGCAGGCGGUGUGGACCGAGCCCAUCGGGGCGUCGGUCCUAGGUGACCUCGGUGGGGCGGUCGCUCAGCCUUUCUGAGCGGGGCCCCGGGCUUGUCCGGCGUCGCCAACAGUGGUUUGGGGGGGGCGGCCGGGCCCCCACUGAGCCGCCGUGUCUGAAUCAGUGGCAGUGGUAGGGAUGGUGCCUUCGGUGGUGUGAAGACUGUCCAGGGGUCGGGCUAAGCACAGAGGCCUGAAGGUCACCGGUUGAGGAGACAGCGCCCAAAACAGGCGCUGCAUCCUGAGCCCUGGGAGUACCGAGGUGACCUUCCAGGAAUCAAAUAAAAGCUUCGUUUUAAAGGAAGCAGGGCCAGACGUCUUAUAAAAUCGACACUUUCCCGUUCUUUGGGGCGGGGGGGAGGCCGGAGGCGGGGAGGGAGUUAUGGAAAGAAGCUGUCAGCGUAAAGUGAACUACAAUUUUGACUUUGCAGAGCGGUCUGACGUAUCACAGUGACCUGCAUUCUGUUGGUGUGGCAUCCUCAGGUUUCACAGGGAUUGUCUGUGUAGGCAGCUUAUAAAACAGUGUUCAAGGAACCUUUGACCUUAUUAGGUGAAGGGUGUUAGAUGUUACAAAAGAAUAUUAAAUAGAAUGAUAAACUGGGAAUGUCAGAUGGUAGUAGGGGAACAUUUUCUAAUUGUUGGAUCAUUCAAAUUUGUAGUGCAAGUUUUUGAAGGCUAUAACCUUAAAAAAAACAACCUUUUCAUAUGCCCUUUUCUUAGAAAGAAAUGGUGUAAAGUUGUGGAAUAAAGGUAGCUUUUAGCAUUAUGACAUGAAUGAAUGACAGAAAUCCAUAAAUCAAAUGUGUAGUUUUCAUUUUUUUUUUCCAGAAAUACCACAUUGGCCUUGGUAAAUUGGAGAUUUUUCAGAUAUAAAUAUGGAAACUGCAAGAGUUUAGGGCAUUAUUCCUUAUUCGGUAUCCAUCUUAACAGUUUAAAAAGGACUAACGGUUUACAAUCCAACAACUGAAUACAUCCAGAGGAUCUUUCACGAACGUCACUUCAUUGUUUUCACCAGAGCCUGAGCUCCUCUAUGGCGUCACAGUGGACGCUGUCAGGUGAGAUGACCUUGAAGGUACAGGCAAUCCUGUGGCAAGGGGAUGAAGCCCAUCGGCCAUGGAGCCAGGACGCCUGGGCACAAAUCUCCAGCUUCCUGAGUGACAUCAUAGAUGAUGGCACCAUCGACUAAAGCCUGGAAUAUAGAAAGAGGAACGGCCUGGUGGAGGUAGCAGGGGAGGCUGAAGAUAAUCAGCAAAUCUGGAUUGGGGUCGAGGGAAGUUGUUGAGACAACCAGACAGCAAACACGUCCCACAGAAGCUUGGCGGGACUUGGACCUGCGGCUCCUGCCCCUCCUCAACCCCAGGAGCCAUCACAGGUCUUCUGGGCUCAGGCCUGAGGCAGAGAGGUUGCUGGUUCAGACUCUCUAGCACCAUCCCGGGACUUACUUCAGAUUCGGGACCUCUCUGGACCAGCCUCGAAGGCUCAGAACCAGGCGUUGCUGAGACUUAUGCUUUUACGUGGCUCUCUCCUCACUUCCCCCCUCUUCAGGGGGGCCAGCGCCAGAGGACCCUGGAUUUCUCUCCUUCCCUCUGCUCUGGCCAUUUGCCUGGAGUCAGAGCUCAGCCUUCCCACCUUCCACUAACCUUGGGUCCAUGGGCAAUCACUUCCCAGACCCAUGGAGGGCCAGGACUGAGGGACUCUGCAGAGACCCCCCCCCACCCCCAUUACUUUAUGGGGAAGGAAACCCAGGCUGGAGGGUUUCUUAAUCCAUUUUUCUCACCCACCAAUUUCCAGCAACCUUCGCCUCUCUGGCCUCAGUUUGCCCAUCUGCCGAGGAGUGGGAAACAAACCCCAUUCUCCCAACCGCAGGAUGAAGACUGGGACCAGCUGAGUUUGUGAAAGGGCCUAUUACCCCAUUGCUCCAGAGGUUCUCAAGCUUGAACAUGCAUCUGAAUGCCCUGGAGGGCUUGAAAACAGAGGGAGGCUCCUCCUUCCCACCCCAGGGUUUCAGUAGGUCUGUGGUGAAGUCAGAGAAUUUGAACAUUUUCAGACGAUGCCGAUGUGGCUGGUUCAGGGACCACACUUUGAGAAGCACUGCUCUAAAUCUCCGGAACUCACCCCAAAGAGAGGCGGUGUGUGCUGGAGCCUCUCACGCUGGCUCCAGGAAGUUGGUAGCUUGAAAUCAGCCACAGUGGGAGUAUUCACACCUCGGGAAUCAGUAAAUGCUGCAAAC